RNAcentral lists this ribosomal RNA (512 nucleotides) under uncultured bacterium. Its description in RNAcentral is "bacterial SSU rRNA". It matches the Rfam family "Bacterial small subunit ribosomal RNA", at positions 15 to 518 of the family's 1533-position model. The record is from RNAcentral.
GAUCCUGGCUCAGAUUGAACGCUGGCGGCAGGCCUAACACAUGCAAGUCGAACGGUAACAGGAAGAAGCUUGCUCUUGCUGACGAGUGGCGGACGGGUGAGUAAUGUCUGGGAAACUGCCUGAUGGAGGGGGAUAACUACUGGAAACGGUAGCUAAUACCGCAUAACGUCGCAAGACCAAAGAGGGGGACCUUCGGGCCUCUUGCCAUCGGAUGUGCCCAGAUGGGAUUAGCUUGUUGGUGGGGUAACGGCUCACCAAGGCGACGAUCCCUAGCUGGUCUGAGAGGAUGACCAGCCACACUGGAACUGAGACACGGUCCAGACUCCUACGGGAGGCAGCAGUGGGGAAUAUUGCACAAUGGGCGCAAGCCUGAUGCAGCCAUGCCGCCGUGUAUGAAGAAGGCCUUCGGGUUGUAAAGUACUUCAGGCGGGAGGAAGGGAGUAAAGUUAAUACCUUUGCUCAUUGACGUUACCCGCAGAAGAAGCACCGGCUAACUCCGUGCCAGCCGCCGC